Molecule: transfer RNA, 97 nt
Filed under: Gymnopus androsaceus JB14
Lineage: Eukaryota; Fungi; Basidiomycota; Agaricomycetes; Agaricales; Omphalotaceae
Description: tRNA-Asp
Source: RNAcentral
UCCCUGGUAGUAUAUCGGUUAGUACACGCGCUUGUCAUUAGCCGCAGUAUUGAACUAAGUUGCGCGCGAAAGCUGGGUUCGACUCCCAGCCAGGGAG